RNAcentral lists this ribosomal RNA (213 nucleotides) under Triticum aestivum (bread wheat). RNAcentral's name for it is "partial small subunit ribosomal RNA". Lineage: Eukaryota; Viridiplantae; Streptophyta; Magnoliopsida; Poales; Poaceae. The record is from RNAcentral.
AUGACGCGGGGGAAGCAGAAGAUCGACGCGCAGCGGAAGAGCGCGGAGAAGAACCAAAAGUCCAAGGGGUCGCAGCUCGAGGCCCGCGCCGUCGGCCUCAAGGUCGUCUGCCCAAUCUGCAAGGCGCAACUGGCCAACGAGAAGCAGUUGAUUGAUCACUAUGGAUCGAAGCAUCCCAAGGAGAAACCUCCAGGUCCAUCAAAUGCAGAGUGA